RNAcentral lists this ribosomal RNA (253 nucleotides) under uncultured bacterium. Its description in RNAcentral is "partial 16S ribosomal RNA". It matches the Rfam family "Bacterial small subunit ribosomal RNA", at positions 524 to 776 of the family's 1533-position model. The record is from RNAcentral.
UACGAAGGGUGCAAACGUUGCUCGGAAUUAUUGGGCGUAAAGCGCACGUAGGCGGCUUUGCAAGUCCCAUGUGAAAGCCCACGGCUUAACCGUGGAAGUGCAUGGGAAACUGCAGAGCUUGAGUACUUAAGAGGAUCGCGGAAUUCCCGGUGUAGAGGUGAAAUUCGUAGAUAUCGGGAGGAACACCAGUGGCGAAGGCGGCCAACUGGUCCGGCACUGACGCUGAGGUGCGAAAGUGUGGGGAGCGAACAGG